GCAGCCGCCGCGGGAAUACGUAGGUCCCGAGCGUUGUCCGGAUUUAUUGGGCGUAAAGCGAGCGCAGGCGGUUAGAUAAGUCUGAAGUUAAAGGCUGUGGCUUAACCAUAGUACGCUUUGGAAACUGUUUAACUUGAGUGCAAGAGGGGAGAGUGGAAUUCCAUGUGUAGCGGUGAAAUGCGUAGAUAUAUGGAGGAACACCGGUGGCGAAAGCGGCUCUCUGGCUUGUAACUGACGCUGAGGCUCGAAAGCGUGGGGAGCAAACAGGAUUAGAUACCCCCGUAGUCCCUGUCUCUUAUACA
This 302-nucleotide ribosomal RNA is filed under the name uncultured bacterium. RNAcentral's name for it is "partial 16S ribosomal RNA". It matches the Rfam family "Bacterial small subunit ribosomal RNA", at positions 508 to 808 of the family's 1533-position model. The record is from RNAcentral.